CGAUCUUUUGAAGAGGCCGCAGUGAAAAGGCUCAAGCGACUGUUUACUAAAAACACAUGUCCCUGCUAACUCGUAAGAGGAUGUAUAGGGACUGACGCGUGCCCGGUGCCGGAAGGUUAAGGCAAGCUGUCAUCUUGUGCAUUUAUGUAUAAGAGAAGCAGUGAACUGAAGCCCUGGUAAACGGCGGCUGUAACUAUAACAGUCCUAAGGUAGCGAAAUUCCUUGUCGGGUAAGUUCCGACGCGCAUGAAUCGCGUAACGAUUUGAGCAUUGUCUCAACGAGGGACUCGGUGAAAUUGAAUUGGGGGUGCAGAUGCCCCUUACCUGUGGCAAGACGGAAAGACCCCGGAACCUUUACUGUAAUUUAGCAUUGGAUUUUAGUUCAAUAUGUAGAGCAUAGGUGGGAGGCUUUGAACUUCGGUCGCUAGGCCGGAGGGAGCCAACAGUGUAAUACCACCCUUAUUGUACCGAAGUUCUAACUCUGAUAACAAGUCGGAGAACAGUGCUUGAUGGGCAGUUUAACUGGGGCGGUUGCCUCCCAAAGAGUAACGGAGGCGUCCAAAGGUUCCCUCAGCACGGUCGGUAAUCGUGCGUAGAGUGCAAAGGCAUAAGGGAGCUUGACUGCGAGACCGACAGGUCAAGCAGGCGCGAAAGCGGGGCUUAGUGAUCCGGUGGUUGUGUGUGGAAACGCCAUCGCUCAACGGCUAAAAGGUACUCCGGGGAUAACAGGCUUAUCUGGUCCGAGAGUCCAUAUCGACGACCAGGUUUGGCACCUCGAUGUCGGCUCAUCGCAUCCUGGGGCUGAAGUAGGUCCCAAGGGUUGGUCUGUUCGUCCAUUAAAGCGGUACGCGAGCUGGGUUUAGACCGUCGUAAGACAGGUCGGUCCUUAUCUGCCACAGGCGUAGGAUAUUUGAAGGAAUCUGUCCUUAGUACGAGAGGACCAGGACAGCCGAACCUCUGGUGCACCAGUUGUUCUGCCAAGAGCAUUGCUGGGUAGCUACGUUCGGUGCGGAUAAGCGCUGAAAGCAUCUAAGUGCGAAGCCCUCCCUGAGAUUAGAUAUCCCUGAAGGCAACUCGAAGAUGACGAGUUUGAUAGAUCAGUGGUGUAAGAGUGGUAACACUUUCAGCUUACUGACACUAAUUGCCGUUCGAUUUUUUUGU
This 1160-nucleotide ribosomal RNA is filed under the name Candidatus Omnitrophota bacterium. Its description in RNAcentral is "Candidatus Omnitrophica bacterium partial 23S ribosomal RNA". It matches the Rfam family "Bacterial large subunit ribosomal RNA", at positions 1761 to 2925 of the family's 2925-position model. Lineage: Bacteria; Pseudomonadati; Candidatus Omnitrophota. The record is from RNAcentral.